UUUCUGGAUUGGGAUUUCUUUAC
RNAcentral lists this small nuclear RNA (23 nucleotides) under Arabidopsis thaliana (thale cress). RNAcentral's name for it is "snRNA_17476". Lineage: Eukaryota; Viridiplantae; Streptophyta; Magnoliopsida; Brassicales; Brassicaceae. The record is from RNAcentral.